ACCCAUCAUCACUAAGGACCCUCUGGUCCAGAAGACAGGUUAGGGACCAAAAGCAAGUAUCCCCGCUAUGUACUAGGCACAGUUCUAAAUAUUUUGCUUAUUUUAACUGAUUUAAUCUUUACAAUUAAACAAAUAGGCACUAAGGUUAUUUUUUAGAUGAGAAAUCCAAUGAGAGAGAUGAAGAAGAUUGGCCAAGGUUAUGCUAAGAAGCCUAGAGCUGGGAUCCCAUCCAGGCAGUGUAAUGCCAGAAAUCGCUCCUAACCCUGAAGCUAUCUAUAUGCACAAGACCCUCUCUGAGUUGGGUAUUUUUGUCCAGUUUUUCCAGGGGAGGACACUGAAAUUGAAAGAGUUAAGAAAAUGUGGUAGUCACUGGAUUGUUUACAGAUAUUCCAGAUCAUCUUUCCUUCUGUGCAUAAGGAAGUAGCACUUCUCCACAUCCUCGAAGGUUAGGGAUGCCCAUGGGACGGGCUUUGGUCGAUGAAAUGGAAGUGCCAGAGAAGCACUGAGAGCCUGCAUGGAGUUCACCAUGGUCCUGUCUGCUGUGUUGGUGAAACCCUCAUCACAAGGUCGUUAUACAGCAAUAGAAAAAGAAUAAACUAUCUAAUAAACAGUACUAGAACAAUUGGUUAACAGAAGAAAAAGGUAUAAUAAACUGUAGCUGGAUUAGAGAGUUAAAUUUUUCUUAAAAGCCAAAUAGAUGAGCAUUUGCAUGCUCUGAAGAUGAGAGAAAACCUUCCAAGAAUUAAAGCAACUUUUAAAAAUCCACAAGAUAAAGAUAGUGAAGACUUUACACAUCAAGACAUGCCAAACAAAAUAUGAAAAAUAGCAAUUUGGGGAAACAUCUGCAAAACUUAAUAUGACAGAGUAGAAAUGGUCAUACUACAUGAGACAAAGAGUUAAGGCAGAGACUUAAAUAGAAAAAUGGUAAAAUAUAUCAAAUGAUAAUUCACAAGAGAAGAUAUAAAAAUGGUUAAAAUGCUUAAAAGUUUCAGUAGCGAUAAUAAUCACGACGGUUUCUAAGAUGAAAGUUCUCUGACAUUAAGGGUAAUCUCCUCUGACUGAAAAGUUAAGCCUUCAUGAGAUGGUCUGUUGGCUUAUCAUAGCCACAUAAAAUUGAAAUUAAUGGAAAAAAUGGCUGUCUAGGAGUUCCUGUUGUGGCCCAGCUCGUUAAGGACCUUGCUGUCUCUGUGAGGAUGCUGGUUUGAUUCCUGGCCUCACUUAGUAGGUUAAGGAUCAGGCAUUGCUGCAAACUGUGGCACAGGUUGCAGAUGUGGCUGGGAUCUGACAUUGCUGUGGCUGUGGCAUACAUAGAGCAAAGCUGCAGCUCUAAUUCUGCCCCUAGCCAGGGAACUUCCAUAUGCCACAGGAGCAGCCAUUAAAUUAAUUAAUUAAUUUAAAAAAUAAAAAAUAAGUUUAAAAGGCUGUCUUUUAGGAAAUCCUAUUGAGAGUAUAGUUUUUUAAUGUUAAUUUAUGCCAGAAACAAAAGUAAAUGUAAGUGAUGAUGAACAUUAGUUUUUUAGGAUCCAGAAUUUUAAAAUUUAAUGGACCUCCAUGGACCACUGGAUCAGCAGUUAUGAUCUUUUAAAUCACAUAUUUGAAGCAGGUGAAAUUGACUUUAGUUUAGCUUAUUGUAAUUAAAAUUAGCAUGAAUUACCAUGAUGGACUCAGAGUUGGUUAAUCUCUGGCCUUGGGUAGGGGUUCUUCAAUAUAGACGCAAGCCUAAAGCAGAAGCAAUGGAGUGCAAUUGUUUUGAGUUCAUUUUAGGGCCAUAGAUAUACAAUUGAGAGUUCUGAUCCAAAGACUGAUGAGUUAAAAGCCUGUUUCUGCUGUUGCAUGGGUUCAGUCCCUGGCCUGGGAACUUUCACAUGCCACGACUCUCCCAAAAAUAAAGUCUGUUUUCAACUGCAAAUUCCAUUUCUACGAAGCAGAAACUGCCAGAACACAGUGGUGGCAGGGUUUUCCUUCUCCCUUGGUGGGAUGAGGGCUUGGCAAGAGAUGAAGAGUAGAAAGAAUGAGGAAAUAUUAGGAAUAGGGCAAUAAAAUAAGCUUUUUCAAGGAAGUAUUACACUAAAAUCAUUUUCUCCUAUGCUCAAUUCAUAUAGAGAUUAAAUAGGUUAAGUAUUUCCUGCAAUUGGGAAUAAAAUGGUUAUUACUAUCCUCUGUUUACAAAAGCAGUUCCCUUAAGCCAAGAUUAGUGUGAUAUAUUGAUAUUAAAGUGAAAACCACCUUUGCAUUGAUGAAAUUUUAAGUUUUAUAUAAAAAUAAAAAUAACAGAAGAAUAGCUAGUAUAUGAGUAUAUUGGUAUGCAGGUAUAUAUAUGUAAAGAGAGCUAGGAAAUCUAAGAUUAGAUUAGAAAAAUAGAUUGGAUUCCCUAGCUCUAUUUACUGAAAGUGCCAAGAAGCAAAGACCAGAGCAGAAAGUCUAGCGCCCAGGUAUUAGUUCCCACUGAAAGGAGGCUUCUAGGAGACAUGGCUGAUUCCAGGGCUGGAUCCUAAGGAUACAGGCUACCUGUAGCAUCACACACUUGUGCUCCUCUAUUGUUCAAAUCCUACAAAGCCACAGUUUCUUCCCCCAUGGUGAUGGGACCACCAUGAGGUUUAUAACAGUCCUCAGGACCUUAAAGAACUUCCACCAAUCUCAAAUUGUCACUUACUUGUCUUCUGUGUUCCUGCAAACAUUUCUUGAAAGGUCAUAUAAAACUUGGAUCUUUGAAUUGUGGUAAACUUCCCUUAUUUGCAACUGAUCCCACAUUUCUACUCCCAUACAUUGUCUGACAUUAAGGGCUAAAAAUUGUGCCAGAACAUGGAAGUCAGAAAGAUCAGCCACAGCAAAUUAAACACAUGACAUUGAAGAAGGCAUUCAGUAGAGUAUGGAUUUUUUUUUUUUUUUUAAAUGGAAAGAAAAGAGGGAGUUCCUAUCGUGGUUCAGUGGCUAACGAACCCAAGUAGUAUCCAGGUUCGAUCCCUGGUCUCAUUCAGUAGUUUAAGGAUCUGGCAUUGCCCUGAGCUGUGGUGUAGGUGACAGACACAGCUCAGAUCCAGUGUUGCUGUGGUGUAGGCCAGCAGCUACAGCUCUGAUUCGACCCCUAGCCUGGGAACUUCCAUAUGCCGUGAGUGCGGCCCU
Molecule: long non-coding RNA, 3123 nt
Filed under: Sus scrofa (pig)
Lineage: Eukaryota; Metazoa; Chordata; Mammalia; Artiodactyla; Suidae
Description: lncRNA (ENSSSCG00005026301.1)
Source: RNAcentral